AUAACAAAAAGAAUUUUUUUUAUUAAUUUUAAAUUCGUUAGACUUAAAACGAUACAUAUAUUAUAUAUUAUGUAUAUGUGCAUAAUUUAGAACAUGGCCUAAAUAACAAUAUCCCACUGAGAUAAUCUUUAAAACCCAUUCAACCAUUCUUUCUUCGUAAUGACUCAGUCAAAACAAGUACUUUGCUUCACAAAUUUGAUGCUUUUUUAACACCAAUGAUACGUUAGUUUAAACAUAAUUACAGAGAACCCACUAACCAGUUCCCGGUAAUACAGAUAGAAUUUCCUGACAAACAAAGUCAUCUCAUUUGUUUACUACUCAUAAUUAACGCAAUAAAAAUGUUUGCAGUAAUCUAAAGACGUUGUAGGGAAUACAAUCACCCGAUGGCAAUGUUGGACCGGUCAUAUUAACUCCCUUUCCUCCCACCCCUUCGCCUUUGAAUAGCCCAUUUGAAUGCAAUUACUGCAAUGAAGGCGUGGCAUUUGUAUGGAUUUUUUGCGUGCCUUUUAUUACUUUAUUAUGAAUACUUGCCACAGUAGCGCUCUGCUCGCACCCCUCGGCACGAAUGCUAUUUUUAUACCUAUAACGGCGCAUUGUUGUAUUAUCCUUUGCACCCACACUAUUCUUGUUGUUUUUGUUUGGUGGUCUUAUGAGUAUAUUUCGGUUGGUCGGUCUUGCGGUUGCUUAAUCCCCACAUAGUCAUAUAAAAUAUUUUUUGCGAUAAUAUGUAUAUAUAAAUGCAUAUGUACAUUCCUGUAUGAGCCGGUGUGUCAUGUAGUUUUUUGUCGUCGCUUCGCUAUGUUUGUGCCUUUCAUAAUCCACAUAAUGGCUGUCUACCUGUGGUGACUGCGAUGUCUUGUUGGCUUUUGACUCGUUUCACUUUUCACUUACCGUUAACAGGUAAAUAUACAGUUGCACAUAUAUAUAUAUAUAUGGGUAAGUGGCUGCAAUUAGGCUAACUCCAGUCGUCGUUUUAACGAGGAAAUGCUCUUUGCGGAAAGAGCAUGUUAACAAAUUUACCUUUUUUUAUAUUUUGCCUUCCGUAUGGCAACAAAAACAAUUUUCAUAUAGUAUAUAAUUAAUUUGGAGUGCAUGUAAACAACUUGCAACAAAAUUAAUUUAUGCAGUAGAAUUUCGAGGCGUAAUUUAAAUAGCUGACUAGUGUUCAAGUGCGCAACAACAACCAUAACGAAAGCUUGGUUUUAUUAUAUGUGGCAGAAAUGUUUCUGUUUUGGCAUAGAGUUGCAAGUUUAAUGCUCUUUUCUUGUAAAUAUUUUGUGGUAUAUUAUUUAAUUUACUUUAUUCUUAGCCAUCCAUAAUAGCACUAUGAUGAAACUAGUUUAUAUGAAUAUAGAGGCCCUUUCAAAGGGUUAGGUGGGUUUCAGAGGUUCAAAAUAAAAAUACCUUUUACGGUGGUACAACACGUGGAUGGGAAGAUAUUUUCUUGAAUCGAUUUUAAAUUUUUGGAGAAUAUUUCAAACAUUAAAAAAUCGAUUUUUUGAAAUUUUCAAACCUACUAUUAAUAAUAUAUAAUACUGGAAAACGCGAACGUAGCAUACUCCCCCACUUCAGAAUUUUGAUAUGGUUAGAACAGUAUUGAAGUGCCCCUAAUGAUUUUUAAUGUUAAUUUAUUAUAAAUCGUCGUUGUUGUUAUUGUUAAAGCGGUAACUAAACCCAGCGUCUGGGUAAAUAUUUAGGAAUUUGUUUUUCCAGUGCAGUCGAACUAUAGAAAAAUGAGUAUUAGAUUUCUUAGAUUUAGGUGGUGGAGAUGGUAUUAGAUUUAGGUGGUGGAGAUGGUACGCAUGCUAGAUAUACAUAUGUUCUAUAUAUCGAGUCUCACAUAUGAUCUGCCAUAUACGAGUAUCAGCUGUUGUUGGUAAAUUAUAUUUUUUUGUGGGAGGCGGAGCAAGUGUCUGCAAGGAUGGUUUUAAGGAAAGCCACGUUUGAAGAGCUAAAUGAAUGGAAAUGGAAAAAGACGGAGUUGGUGCGGGAAUAUACUGUCUGGAAGUAGACAUAAGGCACCUUUUUAAGCUCGCGGAUCACCACAGUAUACUUCAGGCAAAGUUUUUAGCUGUGGGAAAGCCUCUAAUGCAUCAGGAGGCAGCUCCAGAGUUAACAUCUUGGCAGCAGUGAAGAGUGUCACCAGGAACAAUUGAUUUCACUUCUACAAGUCACAAAGGUAUCGAAGGCAAUGAGAUGGUGGACGAGAUUGCCAAGAAGGUUUACGGUUGUCAUCCGAAAACGAUACCAACAUUGAUAAGCCCGUGCAUUGUCUUUACGAUUCGGACAGGAGCAUGGCAGGGAAAGUGUAAAAAGCGGUAGAUCAGAAAUACAGUUACAUAAAGUUCCUUUCACUUUUCACUUCUGAUAAAGGGGUUCACUUUUGAUAUAAGGAAAAUGAUUGGAAUACUCACUAGUCAUAGCCUGGUGGCGGCUCCUGCCUGCAGAAUGGGGCUCGACAGAUAAAGAUGACUACAGGAAAUGUUAAGAUCAAGACACCACGGAAAUAAUGGAGAAUAUCUUGUGCACUAUACAAGGCAAUGGUUCAAGCUUUAAGUAGUCUGAAACCACACUCCACUUUCACGACAUGGAAAGUUGGACCACGACCACUUUCCGAAUUAUUUUACAUCCCUAGCGUUGCUCCUACAGAAAAUGAAAUUAAUAUUUAAAGGCCCUAGUUUGAUCGCGCAAUAUCUAAACUAAAUAUCUAUGCUAAUUCGUUUUUGGUAUUUCAAAGAAUCAUUAAGAGACACCCACUUCCAGAACAUCUUAAGAGAGUAUUGAGGAAUAUUUAAAUUAGUCUAACGGUUUCAAUUUUUAUUUUCUCUAUGCUUAGCUAUCUGAACAGUCUUUUACCUAACUGAGAUGUCACCCUUUGCGUUAAAUACACGUCGCCCCCAACACCACUUUAUUGUGAUCCUAAACUUAUGCAACAUUAUCAACUCGCCGCAAGGUAUGCUUAAUAAUUGAGUUGCGCAGGUAUUAAAAAAAAAAAAAACAACAUAUAAUGUCAGUCGUCACAUAUAUGCACACGUAUAUCUACUAAUGAUUAUGGUAUGAUACCAUAAAUUAUUGAAUUAUUUGAUAUUAACAUACCUACUGCUCGAUUACACAUUAAGCUUUGCAUAUUCCGCCAGUUUAUGGUAUAUGUAUUACAGUUAUUCGGUGGAGUUUUACAGCCAUCAAUUAACAUUAAUAUUGAAAAUGAACCCCUAUUUUACGCAUCGUAAACGAAUAAUAAAAUUGGAUAUUUUGGCCUUGACUCCUUUGAACUUACACAAUAUUGUUCACUUAUUAUUCACGUUGAACUUUUAAAGGUUCAUAAACAUUUCUUCAAAUUCCAUAUUAGUUAAAACGUUAUGUAGAACAUAAUGGGUUAUGUUUUGUUAAAAAAUUUACAACAACACUUUGUAAGAUCAACCCAAUGAAUCAGUCAAAAUAUUUCAAGUUUUUGUGAAUCAGCACCAAUAAAAUUGAAAACUUGUUGCCGUUUGAUUCAUAUAUCAUUGAAAUUUUAACUAUGGUCGUCAUUAAAAGUGCCCACUUAAUAAAUAUGCUUAAUACUUUAAGUGGUAUUUCGAACCCAGCGCCACCUAUUAGAGAUAAUUACUUAUAGUUCGAAUAUUAUUUUUUAUAUGCUAAAUACUAAUUAAAUCGGAUAAUAAAAAUGUGAUAUUGACCGUUAACCACGUUUUAUGUUCUGAGAUAGCCGAUUGUGUAAUAUGUGUGAAAUUAUAUGGAUGAAAAGGCAUGGUCACAUUUUUGAUCUGUGUGCUCCACGAACUUAAGCUGAGAUUUUCUCGAAAUUUCGGAUAAAUCAGCUUUUGUUAAUCCUAUAUAUUCAUACAUAUAAUAUAUAGAAAUUGCUGAGGUCCAGAUCAAUAAAGUAAUUUUUUUCACCCAGUGUAACGAUUUAAAAUAUCCCUUUUAAGUGUAGAAUCAGUAGUUAGCUAACAAUGUGUCCAAAUACCUAUUAAAACCUAUACAAUUUGAUAUGAUUUGAUGUGAAUGAAGUAACAUUUGUAAUAGUUCUGAUAAUCUUACUUAUCAAUGAUUUUUGCUUCGAAGCACAUAACACAUUAUCUUUCCCGAGCGUAAAAGAAAAAAACAAGCGAUCUACGAGUAAAUUAUUUACACGAGAGAAAAUUCUAUGUCAAUAAUUAAAUCAAUAGUGUGAGAUUGAGAAAUGUCUUUUACAAAAAGAUUAGUUAAAAUUGUAGGUAUCGUAUUAAAAUUUUCGUCUAGUAAGAAAUUUUCUUUAUCUGAAACUUUUUCAUAUAUAUAUUAUUCUCGAAACAACAAAUAAUGAAAAUAAACGUUUGCAGCGAGGAGUAUAAGAUAAUAUAACGUCUGAUAUAAAUCAAAUUAUUUUUUCAAUAAAUGGCUUUAGUAAUCGCUAUCUGCAAUCGGAUUUCCCUAAAUGGCGUUAGAGACAUAAGGCAGUUAAGUGAUGGCUUGAUUCAUUAUUGUUUGAGCACGGUAAACCGGCGCAAGUGGCAUAAACCAAAUGGUGGUAUUGUAUUCGAAAAAAUGUCUCACAAAUAUUUCAAGCAAUUGAAAAAAUGUUUGAUUGAAGAGACUUUAAUGAAAAUUGUCUACACUUCCAAGUACUGAAACGCGUUCGCUAAUUAACUAAAUUGUCGCUUAACUCAACUUUUAAUUAUUUGCAGUAAACUAGAUCGUAAAUUACAACUAUGCUACUUUACGUAUAUUAUAGUAAAACAAUCAAAUAUACUCAGCUUACUUAAGCACUACCUUUCAGAUAAAUAUUUUACAAUAUCAAAUUUUUGUUUUAUUGAUUUUCCCAUGGUCUACUUUUAACCACCUUAUUUUUACUGCAGCCGUACGAAAGUGACAUCUUUCGAUAGCAGGCACGAAGAUACGUACACCAUUAAUAGGUUGGAAAAAAGUGCUUCCCGAAAAAUCUAACGCUUAUCGAACUUUAAACCAAACGAUAGAUAAUCAAUUAAUUGUACGCAGAGCUGCCGUCAUAUCAGGGGUUGUAAGUAAAGUGAUGCAUGUAUUGCUGAUAUGGGCUCACAUGAAAUUAAAAUAUGAUUAUACUCGUAAAUUUUGAAAAUCAUUAUCUGAUAUUUAAUAAAAGUUUCGGCACAAAUAAAUACUAAGAAACAAGCAUACCUGCAUACUGUAAUGUGACCACAGAAGAGUUGUGUAGCUAUCUUAUCUAGUCGAUUUGACUAGGAAAUUUUACCAAUCGCAUUUUAUUUAUUCGCAAAUAUGAAUAGGACAGCUAUCGGAAAUUAAUGACAGUUACUUUCGCGAGCUUCAGACAAAUGCAUUGCAAGUGUUAAAACUUCGCACAUAAUUUAAAAUCAUGACGAUGGGGCUUCUUAAAAUACUAAUUUGGCCAAUAUUUGGUUCAUUGCUCAGCACAACCCCUACUUGUGGUAUGCCCGUAUCAACAUUGCUGGAUGCUGAAGAGAUAGCGGGCAUGUUUGAAGGCGAUAUGAUCUUAACUGCAGAUCAAGAACGUCUGCUAAGAAGUCCGCUUCAAGGUCGAAAUGGUUUGGUUGACGAGACCAAGCGGUGGCCAAAUCGUAUAGUGUACUACAAAAUUGUCGGCGAUUUCGAUUUAAUUCAUCGCCAAGCCAUUUCAGAUGCUAUAGAGGUUUUGGAAGCGCGUACAUGCUUGAAAUUUCAUGAGGCCAGUGAAACCUCCAAGAAAUACGUGGCAAUUUCAUCCAACGCGGGUGGCUGCUACACCGCUGUUGGCUAUCUGGCCAAAGUGCAGACAAUGAACUUGGAAAAAUAUCCAAUUGGCGAGGGCUGCUUCAGACCGGGCACCAUAUUGCACGAGUUUAUGCACGCGCUUGGCUUUUAUCAUCAGCAAAGUGAUAGCGACCGCGAUAAGUACAUAGAAGUUAUCUACGACAAUAUUGUGCCGGGUAAAGAGCCUAACUUUGAAAAAUACGACGCGACGGUUGUGACCGAUUUCGAUGUGGGUUACGACUAUGAUAGCUGUCUACAUUAUAGACCCCGUGCAUUUUCGAAGAAUGGGAAAGAUACGAUAGUGCCGUUGGACGCGACGGCGGUUAUCGGUCAACGAGAACAUUUGAGUAAAAAGGAUAUAAACAAAAUUAAUACCAUGUACAAAUGCCCCAUAUUGACUUAAAAUUUGAGUUAAUAAUGAAGGGAUUAGUUAAUGUAAUUCGGCUUUCUUCUAACAAGGGAUCAAAGAUAAAUUAUAAGAGAAAAACGUACACAAGCAGGCGAUAAUGAAGCUCUACGUCGGAAUUUUGCUGCUGGCACUUACUAGAAGUACGCUAACUGCUCCACUAAACCAGCCUGACUUUGAUAAUGCUGAGCUUAUUGCUGGGUACUUCCAGGGCGAUAUUGUCUUGUCACCUUCGCAGCGCAAUGGAUACCGCAAUGAGAUGUUACGCUGGCCCAACAACACUGUCUACUACAAAAUCAAUGAUGGAUAUUUCGACGAGGCGCAUCGCAAUCAUAUUUUACGUGGUAUUAAAAUCAUAGAAGAGCUCUCGUGCAUUCGCUUUCAGGAAGCAACCGCAGAUCAAAAAUAUUAUGUGAAUAUCACCGGAGAAAAUGGCGGCUGUUAUUCGAGCAUUGGCUGGUUGAAUGGCGUUCAGUUUUACAAUCUUCAGCUUUUUCCUCUGGAUACAGGCUGCUUCCGACUCGGUACAAUUGUGCAUGAGUUCCUACACACGCUCGGAUUCUUUCACAUGCAGAGUGCCGCGAAUCG
Bactrocera oleae (olive fruit fly) is the source of this 6724-nucleotide non-coding RNA. The record is from RefSeq and is a predicted model, not a curated record. Lineage: Eukaryota; Metazoa; Arthropoda; Insecta; Diptera; Tephritidae.